UUUUAUUUUCUUAUUUUUCUAUUUUUUUAAUGAAUUUUCUCUUUUCUCCUUUGUUUGAAUUGGUUUAAAAAUAAUUUUAUGCAUUUUUAAAUUAUGAAAAAUUUAUUUUAUGUUUCUUAUUUUAUUUUUAACCUUCCACAAUUUGCUUGGCGAUUUAUUUGGUGUUUUGAAAGAUUUUAUGGAUUUUCUCUUUAAUUUCCCUUUU
This 205-nucleotide long non-coding RNA is filed under the name Lathyrus oleraceus (garden pea). RNAcentral's name for it is "Pisum sativum (pea) long non-coding RNA (PSAT_LNC026506)". Lineage: Eukaryota; Viridiplantae; Streptophyta; Magnoliopsida; Fabales; Fabaceae. The record is from RNAcentral.